RNAcentral lists this long non-coding RNA (479 nucleotides) under Brassica rapa (field mustard). Its description in RNAcentral is "long non-coding RNA (BRAP_LNC002133)". Lineage: Eukaryota; Viridiplantae; Streptophyta; Magnoliopsida; Brassicales; Brassicaceae. The record is from RNAcentral.
UAAACUGCUGGUUCGUUUCCGCGGGCAGGUCAGAAUUUAAAUUUGUAUAUAUUUUUCUUUCAAAAAAAAAAAGAUUUAUCUAAACUAUCUUACUCAUAAACCUAGAUGAUUCGUUUCAAUGAUUUUUUUUUUGUAUGACCAGGAAGUGAAUCCUUAGACGAGCUACGAGCCUGUGUUACAUGCCAAGAUAACAAUGAUGUGGCGCAUACUGCAAACCUCUGCUAUAUACGUGAUAUGCAUGCAAGAGAGAUAUUCGUAAAUAUAUUCUGGUUUGCAUGUGGAGAUUCAAGAAUAAGGAAAGCAGAAGGCUGUGGUAAAUAACUGAGAAACUUGACAUAAGAGAGUUGCGGCUUUAAGAGAAAAAGAGUGGAGCAUCAGACGAACUAAGAGAGAUUAGAUUAGGUUCAGGUGAUUGAACAAAGAAAAAAUUGCCGUAGUUAUUAAUCUUUUGAGCAAAAAGUGAAAUUGUUGGUGUGCGG